Molecule: ribosomal RNA, 484 nt
Filed under: uncultured bacterium
Lineage: Bacteria
Description: partial 16S ribosomal RNA
Rfam family: Bacterial small subunit ribosomal RNA
Source: RNAcentral
GGGGGGGGGGGGGGGGGGGGGGGGGGGGUGGGGGGCGGGGGGGGGGGGGGGGGGUGGUGCUGGGUUGAGGGGCGGAGGGGGGGGGGAUGCCGAGGAAUCUGCCUGGUAGGGGGGGAUGAGGUCCGGAGACGGGCGCUAAUACCGCAUACGUCCUGAGGGAGAAAGUGGGGGAUCUUCGGACCUCGCGCUGUCAGGUGAGCCGAGGGCGGCUUAGCUAGUUGGUGGGGUAAAGGCCUACCAAGGCGACGAUCCGUAACUGGUCUGAGAGGAAGAUCAGUCAAACUGGAACUGAGACACGGUCCAGACUCCUACGGGAGGCAGCAGUGGGGAAUAUUGGACAAUGGGCGAAAGCCUGAUCCAGCCAUGCCGCGUGUGUGAAGAAGGUCUUCGGAUUGUAAAGCACUUUAAGUUGGGAGGAAGGGCAGUAAGUUAAUACCUUGCUGUUUUGACGUUACCAACAGAAUAAGCACCGGCUAACUUCGUG